GCUGGGCGUGGUGGCGCAUGCCUGUAGUCCCAGCUACUCAGGAGGCUGAGGUGGGAGGAUCACUUGAGCCCGGGAGGUCAAGGCUGCAGUGAGCCAUGAUCACACCACUGCACCCCAGCCUGGGUGACAGAGUGAGACCCUGUCUCAA
This 148-nucleotide signal recognition particle RNA is filed under the name Macaca mulatta (Rhesus monkey). RNAcentral's name for it is "Metazoan signal recognition particle RNA (ENSMMUG00000056267.1)". It matches the Rfam family "Metazoan signal recognition particle RNA". From Rfam's summary of the family: The signal recognition particle (SRP) is a universally conserved ribonucleoprotein. It is involved in the co-translational targeting of proteins to membranes. The eukaryotic SRP consists of a 300-nucleotide 7S RNA and six proteins: SRPs 72, 68, 54, 19, 14, and 9. Lineage: Eukaryota; Metazoa; Chordata; Mammalia; Primates; Cercopithecidae. The record is from Rfam by way of RNAcentral. RNAcentral also lists the same sequence under 1 other name.